Selaginella moellendorffii is the source of this 226-nucleotide long non-coding RNA. RefSeq lists it as uncharacterized. NCBI's taxonomy places the organism in Eukaryota, Viridiplantae, Streptophyta, Lycopodiopsida, Selaginellales, Selaginellaceae. The record is from RefSeq and is a predicted model, not a curated record. The transcript is spliced from 3 exons.
GGUAGAAACGAGGAGUUCUAGCAAAAUGGCUCUGGCUUUGAAGUGGCUAGCAUUUCUCGUCCUGCUCAUUUUUGUGAUUGCCGAGAAUGGCAAUGUGGUUCUUGGCAGCAGAGAUUUGACUGGAAUCGACUGUUGAGGAAACUGCAAGUACCGAUGCUCUCUAACUCAUGGGAGCCCGAGAUGUGCAACAAGAUGUGUAACAUAUGUUGUAGCAAGUGCUUUUGCG